AAGUAUUACAGCUCUUUGAGAAUCUGUUUAGCAGGUUUUCACCAGAAAACUCUC
Molecule: small nuclear RNA, 54 nt
Organism: Macaca fascicularis (crab-eating macaque)
Lineage: Eukaryota; Metazoa; Chordata; Mammalia; Primates; Cercopithecidae
Gene: U7
Rfam family: U7 small nuclear RNA
About the family: Animal histone pre-mRNAs are spliced by a different mechanism than nuclear pre-mRNAs and self-splicing introns.
Source: Ensembl